Long non-coding RNA from Dioscorea cayenensis subsp. rotundata (Guinea yam), 322 nucleotides. RefSeq lists it as uncharacterized. Lineage: Eukaryota; Viridiplantae; Streptophyta; Magnoliopsida; Dioscoreales; Dioscoreaceae. The transcript is spliced from 3 exons. The record is from RefSeq and is a predicted model, not a curated record.
GCCGAAACCUCAAAAUAUAGAAAUUUUUUCCGGCGACCAAUUCCGGCGAACCAACACCUAAAAUUUAUUCCCCACAUCCUCUUGAGUAAGGUGGCGAAGCACCUCCAAAGGGAAGGAAACCGCCAAUCAGUGUGCGAGUCUCCAUGCGAGGCAACAUGUCUUGUUUUAGUGGUUUUGGUCGUCAUAGCGAGGCGAAGUGCUUGGCAAUUUGUAUCCCGAGUCAGGUUGUUUGUUUACUCUUAAUCAGGUUGCAUUGUAUGAGUGCAGUGGAUCCACUAGUGUUAUUAACUCUGUAAAUGUGAUUUGUAUAUCUUUCACUUUA